This is a non-coding RNA of Podospora didyma, 83 nucleotides long. NCBI's taxonomy places the organism in Eukaryota, Fungi, Ascomycota, Sordariomycetes, Sordariales, Podosporaceae. The record is from the annotation of a GenBank genome assembly.
GGCUGCGUGGCUCAGUGGUUAAGGCAUCUGCUUUACAUGAAAAUGUUCGCAGAGGAUCGCAGGUUCGAGCCCUGCCGCGGUCA